GUCAGCUCGUGUCGUGAGAUGUUGGGUUAAGUCCCGCAACGAGCGCAACCCUUGUCUUUAGUUGCCAUCAUUAAGUUGGGCACUCUAGAGAGACUGCCAGGGAUAACCUGGAGGAAGGUGGGGAUGACGUCAAAUCAUCAUGCCCCUUAUGCUUAGGGCUACACACGUGCUACAAUGGGUAGUACAGAGGGUUGCCAAGCCGUAAGGUGGAGCUAAUCCCUUAAAGCUACUCUCAGUUCGGAUUGUAGGCUGAAACUCGCCUACAUGAAGCUGGAGUUACUAGUAAUCGCAGAUCAGAAUGCUGCGGUGAAUGCGUUCCCGGGUCUUGUACACACCGCCCGUCACACCACGGGAGUUGGAGACGCCCGAAGCCGAUUAUCUAACCUUUUGGAAGAAGUCGUCGAAGGUGGAAUCAAUAACUGGGGUGAAGUCGUAACAAGGUAGCCGUAUCGGAAGGUGCGGCUGGAUC
Molecule: ribosomal RNA, 469 nt
Filed under: Clostridioides difficile
Lineage: Bacteria; Bacillati; Bacillota; Clostridia; Peptostreptococcales; Peptostreptococcaceae
Description: bacterial SSU rRNA
Rfam family: Bacterial small subunit ribosomal RNA
Source: RNAcentral